This 441-nucleotide ribosomal RNA is filed under the name uncultured bacterium. RNAcentral's name for it is "bacterial SSU rRNA". It matches the Rfam family "Bacterial small subunit ribosomal RNA", at positions 28 to 479 of the family's 1533-position model. The record is from RNAcentral.
GACGAACGCUGGCGGCGCGCCUAACACAUGCAAGUCGAACGAGCGAGAGAGAGCUUGCUUUCUCGAGCGAGUGGCGAACGGGUGAGUAACGCGUGAGGAACCUGCCUCAAAGAGGGGGACAACAGUUGGAAACGACUGCUAAUACCGCAUAAGCCCACAGCUCGGCAUCGAGCAGAGGGAAAAGGAGUAAUCCGCUUUGAGAUGGCCUCGCGUCCGAUUAGCUGGUUGGUGAGGUAACGGCCCACCAAGGCGACGAUCGGUAGCCGGACUGAGAGGUUGAACGGCCACAUUGGGACUGAGAUACGGCCCAGACUCCUACGGGAGGCAGCAGUGGGGAAUAUUGGGCAAUGGGGGAAACCCUGACCCAGCAACGCCGCGUGAAGGAAGAAGGCUUUCGGGUUGGUAAACUCUUUACCUAGGACGAAGGAACGUGACGGUACC